CUACGGGCUGCUCCAGUGGGGAAUAUUGGGCAAUGGGCGCAAGCCUGACCCAGCAACGCCGCGUGAGGGAAGAAGGUUUUCGGAUUGUAAACCUCUGUCCUUGGGGACGAAGAAGUGACGGUACCCAAGGAGGAAGCUCCGGCUAACUACGUGCCAGCAGCCGCGGUAAUACGUAGGGAACAAGCGUUGUCCGGAAUUACUGGGCGUAAAGGGUGCGUAGGCGGCAUAUUAAGUCAGGUGUGAAAUACUCGGGCUCAACCCGGGGGCUGCAUUUGAAACUGAUAUGCUUGAGUGUGAGAGAGGAAAGUGGAAUUCCUAGUGUAGCGGUGGAAUGCGUAGAUAUUAGGAGGAACACCAGUGGCGAAGGCGACUUUCUGGCUCAUAACUGACGCUGAGGCACGAAAGCGUGGGGAGCAAACAGGAUUAGAUACCCGCGUAGUC
Molecule: ribosomal RNA, 441 nt
Filed under: uncultured bacterium
Lineage: Bacteria
Description: partial 16S ribosomal RNA
Rfam family: Bacterial small subunit ribosomal RNA
Source: RNAcentral